GACGAACGCUGGCGGCGUGCCUAAUACAUGCAAGUCGAGCGAAGUUUUUCUGGUGCUUGCACUAGAAAAACUUAGCGGCGAACGGGUGAGUAACACGUAAAGAACCUGCCUCAUAGACUGGGACAACUAUUGGAAACGAUAGCUAAUACCGGAUAACAGUAUUUCUCGCAUGAGAGAUAUUUAAAAGUUGGUUAUGCUAACACUAUGAGAUGGCUUUGCGGUGCAUUAGCUAGUUGGUGGGGUAAAGGCCCACCAAGGCGACGAUGCAUAGCCGACCUGAGAGGGUGAUCGGCCACACUGGGACUGAGACACGGCCCAGACUCCGACGGGAGGCAGCAGUAGGGAAUCUUCCGCAAUGGGCGAAAGCCUGACGGAGCAACGCCGCGUGAGUGAAGAAGGAUUUCGGUUCGUAAAGCUCUGUUGUUAGGGAAGAAUGGAUAUGUAGUAACUAUACAUGUAAGAGACGGUACCUAACCAGAAAGCCACGGCUAACUACGUG
RNAcentral lists this ribosomal RNA (499 nucleotides) under uncultured bacterium. RNAcentral's name for it is "partial 16S ribosomal RNA". It matches the Rfam family "Bacterial small subunit ribosomal RNA", at positions 28 to 507 of the family's 1533-position model. The record is from RNAcentral.